ACUGCGCUGUGAUUGGUUAAAUCCUGCAUGACGUCAUUACCCCUUUAAAUAUGAAUGCCAGCCAGGCUAAUCACCAUUGCGAUCAUUGGAAGCCUCCGCUACGCCAGCUUGGAGCGACGUGCUAGUGCCGGGCGUGCCCUCCCAGCCCUCCCACGUUUUGCAGCAAUGGUCUUCGGUUUGGGUGUCGGUGUCUUCCUGGCGAGUCCAGCAGUUUGGAGGCUUCCACGACGACUCCUUCGGUUUGGAGGAGUGCAGAACGGUUUUUGCUGUCGUUUUGUGUCCACGGGUUUUUGUUUGUUUUCCCGAAUAACGUCGCAGAUUCGUAGACUUCCCGCACCAGCUGUGUAGAAUCCAGGACAAUGGCGACAGCUGUAACUUCAGCAGGACCAGCGGACGCACCUCGAAAACACCUCCUACC
Long non-coding RNA from Branchiostoma belcheri (Belcher's lancelet), 418 nucleotides. RefSeq lists it as uncharacterized. NCBI's taxonomy places the organism in Eukaryota, Metazoa, Chordata, Leptocardii, Amphioxiformes, Branchiostomatidae. The record is from RefSeq and is a predicted model, not a curated record. The transcript is spliced from 2 exons.